Molecule: long non-coding RNA, 2477 nt
Filed under: Ananas comosus (pineapple)
Lineage: Eukaryota; Viridiplantae; Streptophyta; Magnoliopsida; Poales; Bromeliaceae
Description: long non-coding RNA (ACOM_LNC037742)
Source: RNAcentral
UCCACAGUACCAGUCUCACAACAACAUCAUGUCCCUGACAUGGAAUCUCAACUCAAGCCACUCCGGAACGCGGGGCUUGGGGGGCGCGACCCCCGCAAGCAUGUACGAAAGAGCAUAAUGGCAUGCUAGCUAUAGUCCAGGGUACAAAUAUCUCAACAGCAUCAUGUCUCUGACAUGGAAUCUCAACUCGACCCAAGGUCGGCACUGUAGUACCCAAUCAUAAGUCACUAUCAACAACUUGUUGACAAGAUUCUAACAGUCGUUAAUAUAACUUGACAAGUUAAAGCUUUACAUCACACUAGUGAUUCUAUCAGGCUAUACCUGGUCAGUCACUCACAAUCUCUCACUACUCCUUACACAUAAGGAAAGUGGUUUUCUAAGGUUCUAUUCAUAGACUCAUGGCACAUAUCCUGUAGUCCAAUAUAAAUCUCUACUUGACUAUACAAGUACGUUAUCAUAUCCAAAUCUAGUUAUUUACUAGAUUAUAUUCAGUUGAAUAAUCAUUCAAGUUAUGCCAUCAUAUAAAAGUCUAGUUACUUACUAGAACAUAUACCAUAAUACAAGUCUAUCAUGUGAAAGUAGAACUAACAAGGUAAUGCAAGCAAGUAAAACAAACGAUAACACACUCUUCACAUGAUCUCUAUGCCAUUCAUUCUACAAUUGGAAAUGCAUAUGCCAAACAAAGGCCUUUACCUGAUCUUUCAGAGUAUAGCCAUUAUACUUGCUAUAUAACAUUGCAUAGCUCAAUCCUAAAUACAUCAAUCUCUUUGUUGUUCAACAGAAUUAAUUAGUCCCUUCACGAACUUAUAAUUAUAUCCUCUUGGAUAACAUCAAGCUAAAAUUGCAUCUGCAAGCUACUAGUAUCAUGAACACGUAGUACUUUAACAGGUAACCAUGUAAAGUGAACAAGUCAUGAAUCUUUCAUUACUGUUUAAAGAUGCUAUCAUAUCCAAUAUGGUCUACCCAUCAAUGCAUGUCGUAAUGCCUUACACUAUACAUAUAUUCACAUGAAUAUGGAAUAACUUCAACUCAGAUGUCAAAGGAGACAUAGAGGAAAAUUCACCCAUUUCGGGAAGGUCAGACCCACCUAUCACCAAGCCCAAUCCAGCCAAUAGAAGUCUUGAAACUCAGCUCAGCGGAGCCCCAACUCUGCUGAAAACGAAACACGGAAGGCGCAUCAAACUACGACCGAAAUGUCCAAUUUCGGCACACAUUGUUCUUAGUACAAAGUAAUAGCUUGACUCCCUGUUUUGGUUUCAGUUAAUACCUCAAGUUAAGCUCCUAAAAGCCUUCACGCAUCAGCCGGAGAUAAUCCGAAAGUCCGUCGCAAGCCCGCUGCGAACAAUUUCCAAAACGGCAUCAUAGUCGUCAAAUAUUAAUAGAUAUAGUCGGAAUCUUGCAAAUUCAGUUUCCUCACAGCAAUUUCAGCUUACCCAUAGUUGGAACACCUUUUAACUAGUCCCCAAGGUCACCAAUUAAGCUUAAAUUAAUCCGCAAACCUGCUGCGAAGAGAACAAUCCAAACUGCAUCAAUUCGCACUAAUAAACUUCAUAUAGUUUCGAAAGUACAUCAUAACUAACAAAUUACCUUUGUCCAACUUUGGAGCAGCUUAUCCCUGGUCUAGGAUGGUUCAAUCACAGCUAAAUAACCUCUCUUUAGCUGCUGAAAUUGCCCGCGAACUCAGCUGGGAGCAACAAAACCAAAACUACUUGAAAUCCAAUACUAAACUUCCAAUUAAGCUACAUACCUUUCAAAAGCUGCAACUCAGCUCUUUCUGGUAUUAAAAUCCCAGAAAAGUCAGUAAAUAUCCUCCUCCCCACGUUCCGAAAGCUUUCCUUGAGUUUCCAAACCAGCGAGUAACGCGCGCGGCGCGAAAUAAGCUCGAAUAGGCGAUUUCUACUCGAGGAGAGAGAAACCCUAGAGAGAGAAAAUGAGGGAGGUGCAAAGCUCUUCCUCUGAGCUCUAGCACGCUCCACAAGGCUCCAGGAGUCGUGCUGGGGGAGAUAAGGAGGGUAUAAGAAGUGAAAUUACCAAAGUAACCUUGCUGCCACGUAUCUGGCACUGCGUACCGGUACACGAUGUGGCUGUACCGGUACAGCAAGCAGAAAAAAAUGCUGAUUCGCCAAAGCAAUGCACUUUCUUGCUUUUAGUCAUCCAAUCACUCUCUAACUCGUACAAAAACUUGUCCAAGCCCUUUAGAAUAUGUAGGGUAGUUUCACAUACCUUUUCCUAUAUUCGAACUUCAUAAUUGACCAAAUUCGAAGCGUUGCAAUUGAUAAUGCAUUUACGAUGCAAUUUUCCAAUUCCAGUUACUUUCUUACUUCAGUAACUUGUCAAAACCUUUCUAAGAUCUGUCAAACGUCAUAGAUCAGUUCCAAAAGCCAUUCCAACCCUUGAACUUGUCAAUAGGCCCAGAUUCAGUAUAUUACACUACCGCAUUUACUGCUUUCAGAUAUAUAUCUAUCUAUCUAUCUGUU